This 187-nucleotide small RNA is filed under the name Pongo abelii (Sumatran orangutan). RNAcentral describes it as "processed transcript". The record is from RNAcentral. Lineage: Eukaryota; Metazoa; Chordata; Mammalia; Primates; Hominidae.
UUCCUAGUUGAGCUUCUAAUUGGCAGAGGCAGAGAGCCAAACACAGCUACAUCAGCAGGGUCAUACUGUUUUCAGGGAAUGGAGAUGUUAAGGCAGGAUGGAUAGAAUGACAGAAGAUGCUCUUCGCUUGAAUCUGUUGAAGCGGAGCUUGGACCCAGCAGAUGAGCGAGAUGAUGUCCUGGCAAAG